This 1208-nucleotide long non-coding RNA is filed under the name Canis lupus dingo (dingo). Its description in RNAcentral is "lncRNA (ENSCAFG00020027295.1)". Lineage: Eukaryota; Metazoa; Chordata; Mammalia; Carnivora; Canidae. The record is from RNAcentral.
GUUGUGGUGAGUCCGCUGCAAGUCAGUUGAUCUGUUCCAUGUCUCCUCAAUCAGGAUUCCAGACUGAUAGAACAGUUGCCAUCUUGAAUGUUUUACGUUGCUAUGGGGAGAAUAAAGAUUACUCCAGAGGGUGUCAGGCUGGCAUUUAAAUCCUAUGGCCAGAAGUGGCACACAUCAUUUGGGCUUCAACCUAAUUGGCCAGGACUAGUGGCAUGGCUUCAUUGAAUCAUCACAGUGAGGCCACAUCGUGCUGCCUACCUCGUGCCCCAAAGUAGAGAGCUAUGCUGCACAACUUUUAAGGACUAACAUACUCUUAGUGACUCUUUGCGCCAAUAUUCUCUAGAUUCCAAUUUGGGGAAACUUCUGGGAAGACACAAAUAAGUUGCAGUAUAUGAACAUUCUUCUGGUGAAUUACUUUUAAAGGAUUUAGAACCACCUGAAAAAGAAUUUUAUGAAUCAACAAUAAAAAGAGAAGAAAUAAGCAUAUUCUAGAGAGUGGAAAGAAUGAAGAGUCCACUUCAUCAAUUCCAGUUUGCUCUCUAACAUGCUCCUGUGGCCUUCUAUGUUGCUGGCCCUGACACACUUUGGGAUUUUCCUAUGCUAGCAGAGUAUAAGUCUUUACUGGCCAGCAUUGCAUUUCCAAAAUUUAAUGGUCAAGCAGAAGACUUCCCCUUUGAUGGCUUCUUGGGCUUUGUGCACCAAUGACUUGAAAUAUAUUAUAAAUGCUAGAAGCUGAUCUUCAAGCUUAGAAAAGAGGAAUUUUGUGGAAGCACAUUAAAGACAUGGGGUCUUCUCUUGGGCUCCCACUCUGUUGGAUGUCCUUGCAGUUUUUGAAAAUGGAACAAUGAACAUAUUCUAGCACAUGAAGUAUACCAGAAACUGGUUGUUUCCAUAUGCAAGUUCAAUCAUUUUUCCCACUUCCUGUGACUUUUAUAGAUGGAAUUGGAGACAGCAUCAUGGAUACAUUAAGAUCAACUUAUCCUCUGAGAGAAAGUGGAAAACCUGCAUAAAAUCUGGCAAAUAUUUGUUUAAAAGCAUCCCAGAGACUCAAGACAGAGAGGGCUUGAGAAGUGGAGAACCCAGAGUGCAGAGAAUCCGAUGUUGUAGGUCUCUGCUCUUGUAAGACUUUGGCUGCAGAAUCCCGGGAUAAGCCCUCCUAGGUGAGUUAUCUAUUUCCUGAAUGCUGUCUGUCUCCUACCUGCCUAUGC